RNAcentral lists this long non-coding RNA (1291 nucleotides) under Physcomitrium patens. RNAcentral describes it as "long non-coding RNA (PPAT_LNC006669)". Lineage: Eukaryota; Viridiplantae; Streptophyta; Bryopsida; Funariales; Funariaceae. The record is from RNAcentral.
AGAUCUAUGGGUGAAAUUUUGUAGGUUAAUGAUUAUAGUUGUGUUUAGUAUGUAUUGUGAAUUUGAGCUCGAUCUAACAAUUGAAUUAAAGAUUAUUGAGGUUUAAGUGGGUCAAGGUCUCAGAAAGUAGAAUUUUAGGUCUAGUAAGGGUUUUAAAGAUUUCUUGCAAUCUACUAGUUGGAUUGGAGUGAAAUUUGUGUCAAAGGAUAUUAGACUUAUUUUUCUAUGUGUAUGAGAAUUUUAAAAUCAAUAGAAUGGUGAAAAAAAGAGAUAUUGGCUCUGGAAGAUUAGCAUCAAGGUUGGAGAAGGAGGCCGACCAAUACCUGAGCAUGUUUUUGAGGUCAUCGUCUAUUUAAUAAUUCCGAUCUUUUUCAAAUUUUUUGUACUUGUUUUCAACUUAGUUUUUGAGAAGUAUGCAAAAUUUGAGUUAAGAUCAACAGUUCAUUCAUUAGUUAUUGAGGUUUUAAUUUGUUAUAGAAAUUACUAAGGUUUGAUUAAGAUUUGGUUUAGGAUUUAGAGUUUGGUUAGGAUUUGAUUUAAUAUUUAGGAUUUGAUUUAGAAUUUAGGAUUUGGUUUAGGAUUUAAAGUUUAGUUAGGGUUUUAUUUAAAUUUUGGUUAAGAUUUUGUUUAGGAUUUAGGGUUUGAUUUUGAGUUUAAGGUUUGAUUAAAGUUUGAUUUAGGAUUUAGGAUUUGAUUAGGAUUUAAUUUCAGGUUAGUACUUAGUUAGGAUUUGAUUUAAGAUUUAAGAUUUGGUUAGAUUUUGGUUAGGAUUUGGUUUAGGAUUUAGGAUUUAAUUUAGGGUUUAAGGUUUGAUUAGGAUUUGAUUUAGGGUUAAAGAUUUGAUUAGGAUUUGAUUUAAGAUUUAGUUAGGAUUUGAUUUAGGGUUUAGGAUUUUAUUAGGGUUUAUUUAGAAUUUAAGAUUUAAUUAAUAUUUGGCCUAAACUUUGAAUGAAGUCCAAUAGGAUUUUAACUAAGAUUAAAUUAAAUUAAAUUGAUAUAUAUUUGACAGAUAUUUGUGAUCAUUCUAAUAUUUCUUUAAGAUUUCUUAUUGUUUCUUUGAAAUUUCUUUGAGGUUUCUUUGAAUUUGAUUAAAGCUUAUUUAACAUUAUUAUGGUCUAAUUAAAGCUUAGUUAGUAUUCUAUUAGAAUUAGAAUUUUGUUGUUGCAAUUUCUAUUCUACUUUCCACAGCCAAGUGUUUGGAGCAUUCUCAAACAAGACUUCACGUAUUAUGACAUCGUUGGAGCGUGUCUUUAUCAAGAUUUGAUUUCAAGAUCACAUAUCGACUUGAAAA